This is a long non-coding RNA of Malurus melanocephalus (red-backed fairy wren), 164 nucleotides long. RefSeq lists it as uncharacterized. NCBI's taxonomy places the organism in Eukaryota, Metazoa, Chordata, Aves, Passeriformes, Maluridae. The transcript is spliced from 2 exons. The record is from RefSeq and is a predicted model, not a curated record.
UCUUGUCCACCUGGAUUCCCAAAAAUUGCAUUAUUACCGUGGGAAUUACAUGACUUUUAAGAAGAUGUACCAGCAGAAGCAGAAAGAGCUGAUGAAACAAUUUGAGAAACAGGAGAAGAAACUGCGCGACCUCAAAGCCGGAGGCAAAUCCACCAAACAGGCGG